ACAGAACUCUGCCACACUUGAGGGUAUUCAGAUGUGACACUCAAAACUAUUCUGCUGUGAAGGUGACAUUGCAGAGAUUAUGUGUGAGAAAGCCACAAGCCACUUGCUGCAAUACCAGGUGGAGGAGGACUAAAUGGGAGAGUCUUUGGCUCAGCCUGCUAAGCUGCCCCGCCACCACACACAGCUCUGUCUUCAGAGAGGGGCCAAUGCUCCAGAUCCCCCCACUCUCAGGCUCCUGGAGGCACCAUCUUCAGGCCUAACUUUAGCUGCAGAUGGAGCAUGGAAAUGCAGAUGGCCUGCAGUCACUGGCCAGAGUGUGGUGGGCCAGGCUUGAGUCUGCUCCAUCCUAAGGAUUGUGGGGAUGGAGACAGUGUGCAUUUGGGCCCCCUGGACAGCAAGACAAAGAAUAGCACAGAUGGCUUGUCAACAGUUUAAAGGAAAAAUGCCUGGUAUUAGAGACUGAAUCCAGGCCAAGAGAGUGCUCUUACUGAGCUGCACCCCAGCUCUUGACAACACAGUUAACACCACCCCACUGUUUCCAGGAGGAAGGACUUUGUCAAAGCACACUUACUCAGAGUCUGCGUCAUUUGUCAUUACAGGUUAGAUGUGAAGAAUCCCCCAAAAGCUCUUAAGUGAGGCAAGCAAGAAUUUCCAGAGGUGAAAUGAUUAGAUUUUAGGGUGAACCAAUCGGCAGAUUAAUCCACUGAUAAGGAUUAACUGGGUGGCAGCUGUACGCAGGUAGGGUGUGGUCAUCCCUGACAGUCCCCCGCAAAGCCCACCAAAGUAAGUCCCACCAAAGUCCACUCCCACAUCCUGACUGUAAGAGACUAGAGCACAGAGCAGCUAUUUAACAAAGAUUAAUAUGCCAACUAGUUCUGUGCCUGCAAACACUUACCAACUUUUUAUACAGCUGGAAAUAGUUCUGAAAACAUAAAACCCCUCAUGGUCACUGCAUACAGAAACAGUGCAACCUCAAUGCCUAAAGAAGUUAAGGCAGAAAAGGUGGCCAGGGCAUUGUUAGACUGCAGCACUGCAGUCAGCAGACCUCAAAUAAAGGGUGGGACAAUCAUGGUGGCAUAGUCCUAGCUACUUGGGAGGCAGAGGUAGGAUGGAGAGUUCCAGGCCAGCCUGGCCAAUUUAGUGGGAACCUAUCUUAAAAAAAAAAAAAAAGCCUGGGGAUGUGCCCCAGUGGUAGAGCACCCCUGGGUUCAAUCCUAGUACAGAAAGGAAAGGAACGAAAAAGACGAGAGAGACUGGGGAGCAAGGUAUGUCACGCAUGAGGCUGGGAAGGCUGAGGCAGGAGGAUGGAAAGUUCAAAGCCAGCCUUAGCAAUGGGAGGCACUUAGCAACUCAGUGAGACCUUGUCUCUACAUAAAAUAC
Molecule: long non-coding RNA, 1380 nt
Filed under: Marmota monax (woodchuck)
Lineage: Eukaryota; Metazoa; Chordata; Mammalia; Rodentia; Sciuridae
Source: RNAcentral